This 1187-nucleotide long non-coding RNA is filed under the name Brassica napus (rape). RNAcentral describes it as "long non-coding RNA (BNAP_LNC005730)". Lineage: Eukaryota; Viridiplantae; Streptophyta; Magnoliopsida; Brassicales; Brassicaceae. The record is from RNAcentral.
CUAAAUUAUAAAUUAUAAUAUUGUUUUAACCCUGAUUUCUGACCUUAUACAUGUCCCCCUAAACUUUAUCUCCAAACCAAAUCAAAACUCCAAAACAUAAUUCAUAAAAUCGAUCUUUUUAUUUGAAACAGUUUUAAUUACUAAAUAAAACUAUAGAUCUUUUUUUGUGUCGGUAAGAACUAAGAACUGUAGACAAAAGUAAGAUAUAAGCAAUUAUCAUAUAUAUUCAAAAGAAAAUGGUUAAAAUAUCAUCUUAUUUCUGAUUGGGUGGUGCAUCAAAGGCGGAGAUUACAGUCUGGACCGUUGAUUAAAUUCAAUCUAAUGGUCCAGAUUGUUUCAUCUCUUACCUCUUCUUUUUGUUCUUUCUAGAUGUGUUCUCAUUUUCUAAUUUUUCGUUCUUUCUUACUCCUUCCUCUUGUAUCAAUAUGGUCUUCUUCCUCCAUACAAACAUCAUCAUACUAGACACGAGUUGAUGAUGGUGUGCUUAAUCUCUUAUCUCUAUUUUUACCAUCAUUAGUCUUCUACUUGCCCGUUAAUCACUUUCUUCCUCCCCCUUUCUCAUACGUCUCUCAGUUCGUACCUCCAUAAACGGAUUCACUGCAUUAGUCACCAGUCCGGUCCGUCGAACCCACGUCUCCUCACCUCAUCUCCAGAUCUCCCUUGCUCAAGCCCCAAAAUCUCGCCGCUCUCAGCUUCAGUCUCAAGUUGCAUCUUUUUCAUACCGGUCAACUCGUCACCGCAAUCUCAGCUUCAGUCUCAAUUAAAACCUCCUUCAACAGCUUCACUCAGUCACCGGAGUUGGUUUCGUUGGAGGAACUCACGUGCCCCUGCCUCCACCGGAAUGUCUAGAUCUCCUCCACUCAAGCCUCAAAAUCUCGCCGCUCUUCAAUCUGAAGUGGCUUCGUCAUCGCCGGUUAAGCUUCAGCUCCAACCAUACGUUCGGUCAUGACGGCGCAAGACUAUCCAAGACAUAAGUCUAGGUUAAUUUCAUUAGGUUAUAUGUGUAAACCAAAUGUGUAAACCAAUUUUAAUUUCCAAACCAGGUUAUUAUUUGUAAACCAUAAUAAAAAUAUUGUUUUAAAUAAAAAAAUUUGUUGCAAUUGUAUAUCAACCCCAUCCAUAUCUAAUCUGUAACUAAAACACAAAUUUAAUUAUAAUUUAUUUAACUAUUUUAUUUUAUUAAAUUU